This 241-nucleotide ribosomal RNA is filed under the name uncultured Staphylococcus sp. RNAcentral describes it as "partial 16S ribosomal RNA". It matches the Rfam family "Bacterial small subunit ribosomal RNA", at positions 99 to 334 of the family's 1533-position model. The record is from RNAcentral. Lineage: Bacteria; Bacillati; Bacillota; Bacilli; Caryophanales; Staphylococcaceae.
CGGACGGGUGAGUAACACGUGGAUAACCUACCUAUAAGACUGGGAUAACUUCGGGAAACCGGAGCUAAUACCGGAUAAUAUUUUGAACCGCAUGGUUCAAAAGUGAAAGACGGUCUUGCUGUCACUUAUAGAUGGAUCCGCGCUGCAUUAGCUAGUUGGUAAGGUAACGGCUUACCAAGGCAACGAUGCAUAGCCGACCUGGGAGGGUGAUCGGCCACACUGGAACUGAGACACGGUCCAG